UACGGAGGGUGCAAGCGUUGUCCGGAAUCAUUGGGCGUAAAGGGCGAGUAGGCGGAAAGGUAAGUCAGUAGUGAAAGUUCGGGGCUCAACCCCGAAUCUGCUAUUGAAACUGCUUUUCUUGAGUGUGAGAUGGGAAAGUGGAAUUCCCGGUGUAGCGGUGAAAUGCGUAGAUAUCGGGAAGAACACCAGUAGCGAAGGCGGCUUUCUGGCUCACAAACUGACGGCUGAACCGCGAAAGCGUGGGGAGCGAACAGGAUUACGAUACCCCGUAGUCC
RNAcentral lists this ribosomal RNA (275 nucleotides) under uncultured bacterium. RNAcentral's name for it is "partial 16S ribosomal RNA". It matches the Rfam family "Bacterial small subunit ribosomal RNA", at positions 524 to 796 of the family's 1533-position model. The record is from RNAcentral.